This 72-nucleotide transfer RNA is filed under the name Tabrizicola sp. RNAcentral describes it as "tRNA-Thr". It matches the Rfam family "tRNA". Rfam says of the family: Transfer RNA (tRNA) molecules are approximately 80 nucleotides in length. Their secondary structure includes four short double-helical elements and three loops (D, anti-codon, and T loops). Further hydrogen bonds mediate the characteristic L-shaped molecular structure. tRNAs have two regions of fundamental functional importance: the anti-codon, which is responsible for specific mRNA codon recognition, and the 3' end, to which the tRNAs corresponding amino acid is attached (by aminoacyl-tRNA synthetases). tRNAs cope with the degeneracy of the genetic code in two manners: having more than one tRNA (with a specific anti-codon) for a particular amino acid; and 'wobble' base-pairing, i.e. permitting non-standard base-pairing at the 3rd anti-codon position. Lineage: Bacteria; Pseudomonadati; Pseudomonadota; Alphaproteobacteria; Rhodobacterales; Paracoccaceae. RNAcentral also lists the same sequence under 1 other name. The record is from RNAcentral.
GCCGGUGUAGCUCAGUGGUAGAGCACUCGAUUCGUAAUCGAGCGGCCGUGAGUUCAACUCUCAUCACCGGCU